AUAAUCUGUUAUUAUAAUUAAAUCUGCAUAGUUUAAAGGUAACACACUUUUGACAUACCUCAGGAGUUGUAAAUAGAUAUCCUGUGUUUUACCCGUGAGGAUAGCAUGAACUAGGGGGAAGCUCUAAAAAACAAAACUAGACAUGGAAAGAAAAUAUCUGAUAAGCAUCAUUAUCCAAAAAUUUUGGUACCGUUUUGAAUGUACCAUCACAACCAGCUACACGAACCUAUAAAUUAUAAACUGAAUUGUACACAAAGACACCUUUAAUAAUUCCAUUUACUACCAACGGGCCUUGAUAAAAUCUAUACAAAAAUUAUUAUUAAGUAGAUCAAAUCAUGGAAAUCUGAAAUAUUUUGAGGUGUGGCUGGGAACAUUCCUUGUCGCAAUCGCCUCAUUCUUUCUGCACACUGAAUGAAGGUGUAGUUAUUUGCAGCUUCUGGAAAACUUUAGUAAAAAAAAUAAGAUUCAAACAUUAUAUCAGAAGUACAAAAAUAAAUAUGAUACCAACUUUACAAUUGAUUCCAUGUAUAUACCACGAGGAACAUAUGAAUUUACAGUUUUCGUUAAAGCCUUUUCUGUUAUGUGUUCUCGAAGAAAUGGAACAUCUAAGUCAAACGGUUUUACUAGAUG
This is a long non-coding RNA of Aphis gossypii (cotton aphid), 630 nucleotides long. RefSeq lists it as uncharacterized. The transcript is spliced from 5 exons. NCBI's taxonomy places the organism in Eukaryota, Metazoa, Arthropoda, Insecta, Hemiptera, Aphididae. The record is from RefSeq and is a predicted model, not a curated record.